UUCUUCUUUCCAACCGCAAAAAGAAAAAGGGGGGAAAUGAACCAGAUCUCUCCCCUCUCUCUCUAUACAGAUCCCAUCUUUUCCUCCCAUCUCUGAUCGCGAAGCGAAGAGGGGAGAACAACGAGACCUCAGAUCCCAGAUGCAAUCCAACUCAGAUCUCUGCAUCGAACCCUGGAGCGCCUCCCCUCCCACCUCGCCGACGCCCUCUUUCGCCGCCUCCGCCACCGCCACCUCCUCUACCCAUCCCUCCUCAAUAUUGCGUUGAAGAGGUUGAUUUGAGUGGGGAGAGCAUCGUGGAUGCUGAGUGGAUGGCUUAAUUGGGGGGAUUUCAGAAUCUUCGAAUUUUGAAGCUUUCGGAUUGCAGGAGUUUGAAUAUUCGAAUUCUGUAGGUAGUAAGGCUGCCUCUUCUCUGUUUUUGGAGCAGUGUUUGGAUUUUGCAUCUGGGUUUCAGUUUUUCAGAGUCUUUUGGGUGGAGCUUAGCCUAAAAGGGGCAUUUUCUGAUUUUCUGCGGUGCAACAUCAUGUUUUUAAAGUACUGACCAAGAUCUCAGAGCCCGAGAGGAGGUCAUCAUUUUUAACAGGAACAAACACAGGAGUUGGUGUAGCUUUGAAAGGAUCUUUAUGUGGAUAUGCAGCAGCUUGUGGUUGUUGGAAGUUUUAUUCAUGAAAAGGCAAUUUUGCCUUUGUGGAUAGUCCCACAUCGGAAAAUGAGAUGAAUAGUAAAGGGUAAUGGAAGCAAUAACCGUGCGUAACGGUCCAUUGGAUUCAGCGGGGGUUACAACUUUCAUCACCUAUAAAAGGAGGCUUGGAGCUCAUUCAGAUACACACAAACGAAGAGGAACACUUUCUAAACUCUCUUCUCUUCUCUACUCUCUUACCUCCAAGAAAUUUCGGCUACAUUUUACUGGGCAACCGUUUUCAUCUGAGCAUAAGCUCUGUGACUCACGCCCGAGUGCAGAGGCCGGCCGAUUCCGGGGGUUUUUACCGCUAGGGGAG
Long non-coding RNA from Asparagus officinalis (garden asparagus), 995 nucleotides. RefSeq lists it as uncharacterized. The transcript has 6 exons. NCBI's taxonomy places the organism in Eukaryota, Viridiplantae, Streptophyta, Magnoliopsida, Asparagales, Asparagaceae. The record is from RefSeq and is a predicted model, not a curated record.